AGGGAUAUAGUUUAGUGGACAAGAAUGUGGGCCCUUGAAGCCCGUGACCCCGGUUCGAAUCCGGGUAUCCCUA
This 73-nucleotide transfer RNA is filed under the name marine sediment metagenome. RNAcentral's name for it is "tRNA-Gln". It matches the Rfam family "tRNA". Rfam says of the family: Transfer RNA (tRNA) molecules are approximately 80 nucleotides in length. Their secondary structure includes four short double-helical elements and three loops (D, anti-codon, and T loops). The record is from RNAcentral.